Molecule: ribosomal RNA, 445 nt
Filed under: uncultured bacterium
Lineage: Bacteria
Description: partial 16S ribosomal RNA
Rfam family: Bacterial small subunit ribosomal RNA
Source: RNAcentral
GUAGGGAAUAUUGGGCAAUGGAGGCAACUCUGACCCAGCCAUGCCGCGUGCAGGAUGACGGCCCUCUGGGAUGUAAACUGCUUUUAUACGGGAAGAAAAAAGACUACGUAUAGUAUACUGACGGUACCGUAAGAAUAAGGAUCGGCUAACUCCGUGCCAGCAGCCGCGGUAAUACGGAGGAUCCAAGCGUUGUCCGGAUUUAUUGGGUUUAAAGGGUGCGUAGGCGGAUCUUUAAGUCAGUGGUGAAAGCCUGCAGCUUAACUGUAGAAUUGCCAUUGAAACUGAAGAUCUUGAAUGUGGUUAAAGUAGGCGGAAUGUAUCAUGUAGCGGUGAAAUGCUUAGAUAUGAUACAGAACACCGAUAGCGAAGGCAGCUUGCUGAACCAUUAUUGACGCUGAGGCACGAAAGCGUGGGGAGCGAACAGGAUUAGAAACCCUGGUAGUCC